UAAAACUCAAAGGAAUUGACGGGGGCCCGCACAAGCGGCGGAGCAUGCGGAUUAAUUCGAUGCAACGCGAAGAACCUUACCAAGGCUUGACAUGUGCCAGACCGCUCCAGAGAUGGGGUUUCCCUUCGGGGCUGGUUCACAGGUGGUGCAUGGUUGUCGUCAGCUCGUGUCGUGAGAUGUUGGGUUAAGUCCCGCAACGAGCGCAACCCUCGUUCCAUGUUGCCAGCACGUAGUGGUGGGGACUCAUGGGAGACUGCCGGGGUCAACUCGGAGGAAGGUGGGGAUGACGUCAAAUCAUCAUGCCCCUUAUGUCUUGGGCUUCACGCAUGCUACAAUGGCCGGUACAAUGGGUUGCGAUACUGUGAGGUGGAGCUAAUCCCUAAAGUUCGGAUUGGGGUCUGCAACUCGACCCCAUGAAGUCGGAGUCGCUAGUAAUCGCAGAUCAG
This 446-nucleotide ribosomal RNA is filed under the name Arthrobacter sp. 3-9(2012). RNAcentral describes it as "bacterial SSU rRNA". It matches the Rfam family "Bacterial small subunit ribosomal RNA", at positions 895 to 1352 of the family's 1533-position model. Lineage: Bacteria; Bacillati; Actinomycetota; Actinomycetes; Micrococcales; Micrococcaceae. The record is from RNAcentral.